AGUGAACGCUGGCGGUAGGCCUAACACAUGCAAGUCGAACGGCAGCACAGUAAGAGCUUGCUCUUACGGGUGGCGAGUGGCGGACGGGUGAGGAAUACAUCGGAAUCUACUUUUUCGUGGGGGAUAACGUAGGGAAACUUACGCUAAUACCGCAUACGACCUACGGGUGAAGGCAGGGGAUCUUCGGACCUUGCGCGAUUGAAUGAGCCGAUGUCGGAUUAGCUAGUUGGCGGGGUAAAGGCCCACCAAGGCGACGAUCCGUAGCUGGUCUGAGAGGAUGAUCAGCCACACUGGAACUGGGACACGGUCCAGACUCCUACGGGAGGCAGCAGUGGGGAAUAUUGGACAAUGGGCGCAAGCCUGAUCCAGCCAUACCGCGUGGGUGAAGAAGGCCUUCGGGUUGUAAAGCCCUUUUGUUGGGAAAGAAAAGCAGCAGGUUAAUACCCCGCUGUUCUGACGGUACCCAAAGAAUAAGCACCGGCUAACUUCGUG
RNAcentral lists this ribosomal RNA (492 nucleotides) under uncultured bacterium. RNAcentral describes it as "partial 16S ribosomal RNA". It matches the Rfam family "Bacterial small subunit ribosomal RNA", at positions 29 to 507 of the family's 1533-position model. The record is from RNAcentral.